GAUUGCAAGGGCUAGUGAUUUGGCUACACGGUGCAUAUCACAGUUUCCUUGCUGUCCA
RNAcentral lists this microRNA precursor (58 nucleotides) under Heligmosomoides polygyrus. Its description in RNAcentral is "microRNA hpo-mir-43b precursor". Its record names the gene hpo-mir-43b. Lineage: Eukaryota; Metazoa; Nematoda; Chromadorea; Rhabditida; Heligmosomidae. The record is from miRBase by way of RNAcentral.